RNAcentral lists this non-coding RNA (82 nucleotides) under Gammaproteobacteria bacterium. Its description in RNAcentral is "SAH sequence". It matches the Rfam family "SAH (S-adenosyl-L-homocysteine) riboswitch aptamer". The record is from RNAcentral. Lineage: Bacteria; Pseudomonadati; Pseudomonadota; Gammaproteobacteria.
CCCUUCGAGGAGCGUUGCGACGGGCAAAGGCCCGCCAGGCUCGAAGGGGAGUUUCUUAACUUAGCAACGGCGCUCAACACAA